GGUCUCUUAGCUCAGUUGGUUAGAGCGUCGUGCUAAUAGCUUCUCUCCGAAGCCAGUAACGCGAAGGCCAGAGGUUCGAGCCCUCUAUGGACCA
Molecule: non-coding RNA, 94 nt
Organism: Arthrobotrys musiformis
Lineage: Eukaryota; Fungi; Ascomycota; Orbiliomycetes; Orbiliales; Orbiliaceae
Source: the annotation of a GenBank genome assembly